AAAAAAGGCGGUAGGCAUGAUUCUUAGGCAAAUCCGGGAAUCUUUAUGCCGAGCACCGAGACGAGUCCUUUGGGACGAAGUGACUGACACCACGCUUCCAGGAAAAGCCACUAAGCUUCAGCUGUAGAAAAACCGUACCGCAAACCGACACAGGUAGGCAGGGUGAGAAUCCCAAGGCGCUUGAGAGAACUCGGGUGAAGGAACUAGGCAAAAUGGCACCGUAACUUCGGGAGAAGGUGCGCCUCUUGGUGUGGUCACGUGCGUGACUGAGCAUCGAGGGGUCGCAGUAACCUGGCCGCUGCGACUGUUUAUCAAAAACACAGCACUCUGCAAACACGAAAGUGGACGUAUAGGGUGUGACGCCUGCCCGGUGCUGGAAGGUUAAUUGAUGGGGUCAGCCGCAAGGCGAAGCUCUUGAUCGAAGCCCCAGUAAACGGCGGCCGUAACAAUAACGGUCCUAAGGUAGCGAAAUUCCUUGUCGGGUAAGUUCCGACCUGCACGAAUGGCGUAACGACAGCGGCGCUGUCUCCACCCGAGACUCAGUGAAAUUGAAAUCGCUGUGAAGAUGCAGCGUUCCCGCGGCAAGACGGAAAGACCCCGUGAACCUUUACUAUAGCUUUACACUGAACGUUGAGUUCUUCUGUGUAGGAUAGGUGGGAGGCUAUGAAACCAGGACGCUAGUUCUGGUGGAGCCAUCCUUGAAAUACCACCCUGAAGUGCUUGACGUUCUAACCUAGGUCCGUAAUCCGGAUCGGGGACCGUGUAUGGUGGGUAGUUUGACUGGGGCGGUCUCCUCCCAAAGAGUAACGGAGGAGCACGAAGGUACGCUCAGCGCGGUCGGACAUCGCGCACUGUGUGCAAAGGCAUAAGCGUGCUUGACUGCGAGAUCGACGGAUCAAGCAGGUACGAAAGUAGGUCUUAGUGAUCCGGUGGUUCUGUAUGGAAGGGCCAUCGCUCAACGGAUAAAAGGUACUCCGGGGAUAACAGGCUGAUACCGCCCAAGAGUUCAUAUCGACGGCGGUGUUUGGCACCUCGAUGUCGGCUCAUCACAUCCUGGGGCUGUAGCCGGUCCCAAGGGUAUGGCUGUUCGCCAUUUAAAGUGGUACGCGAGCUGGGUUCAGAACGUCGUGAGACAGUUCGGUCCCUAUCUGUCGUGGGCGUUGGAGAUUUGAGGGGGGCUGCUCCUAGUACGAGAGGACCGGAGUGGACGUUCCGCUGGUGUUCGGGUUGUCAUGCCCAUGGCAUUGCCCGGUAGCUACGAACGGAAGUGAUAACCGCUGAAAGCAUCUAAGCGGGAAGCACGCCCCAAGAUGAGAUCUCCCGAGAGCUUGACUCUCCUAAAGGCACCAUCAAGACUAGGUGGUUGAUAGGCACGGUGUGGAAGUGCAGCAAUGCAUUGAGCUUACGUGUACUAAUGAGCCGUGAGGCUUGACCA
This 1435-nucleotide ribosomal RNA is filed under the name metagenome. Its description in RNAcentral is "bacterial LSU rRNA". It matches the Rfam family "Bacterial large subunit ribosomal RNA", at positions 1510 to 2925 of the family's 2925-position model. The record is from RNAcentral.